Molecule: ribosomal RNA, 302 nt
Filed under: uncultured bacterium
Lineage: Bacteria
Description: bacterial SSU rRNA
Rfam family: Bacterial small subunit ribosomal RNA
Source: RNAcentral
GGCUAACUACGUGCCAGCAGCCGCGGUAAUACGUAGGUGGCGAAGCGUUAUCCGGAUUUAUUGGGCGUAAAGAGAGUGCAGGCGGUUUUCUAAGUCUGAUGUGAAAGACCUUCGGCUUAACCGGAGAAGUGCAUCGGAAACUGGAUAACUUGAGUGCAGAAGAGGGUAGUGGAACUCCAUGUGUAGCGGUGGAAUGCGUAGAUAUAUGGAAGAACACCAGUGGCGAAGGCGGCUACCUGGUCUGCAACUGACGCUGAGACUCGAAAGCAUGGGUAGCGAACAGGAUUAGAUACCCCUGGUAG